AUUGAACGCUGGCGGCAUGCCUUACACAUGCAAGUCGAACGGCAGCAUAGAGAGCUUGCUCUCUGAUGGCGAGUGGCGAACGGGUGAGUAAAGCAUCGGAACGUACCGUGUAGUGGGGGAUAACGUAGCGAAAGUUACGCUAAUACCGCAUACGCACUGAGGUGGAAAGCAGGGGGAUCGCAAGACCUUGCGCUAUACGAGCGGCCGAUGUCAGAUUAGCUAGUUGGUAGGGUAAAGGCCUACCAAGGCGACGAUCUGUAGCGGGUCUGAGAGGAUGAUCCGCCACACUGGGACUGAGACACGGCCCAGACUCCUACGGGAGGCAGCAGUGGGGAAUUUUGGACAAUGGGGGCAACCCUGAUCCAGCCAUGCCGCGUGAGUGAAGAAGGCCUCGG
RNAcentral lists this ribosomal RNA (395 nucleotides) under uncultured bacterium. RNAcentral's name for it is "bacterial SSU rRNA". It matches the Rfam family "Bacterial small subunit ribosomal RNA", at positions 30 to 420 of the family's 1533-position model. The record is from RNAcentral.